AGUCAAGAGGUUUUGCCAUCAGAACGUCAAGAUACAUUACCCACAGCCAGUCAAGAGGUUUGCUCACCGGCAGGUCAAGAUACAUCACCCACAGCUAGUCAAGAGGUUUGGCCAUCAGCACAUCAAGAUACAUCCCCUACAGCCAGUCAACAGGUUUGCUCAUCAAAACGUCAAGAUACAUCACACACAGCCAGUCAGGAGGUGAACCUUAGGAAAUACACUGCAACAUUAAGCCAGGUGAUAAACUUGAAACCAAACAAGAUACAAUGGCUGUGUAGCCACCUGGGUCAUACAACGAGAGUGCGCUUGGACCACUACAGGCAAAUGUCUGGCUUCAUUGAAAGAGUCAAAAUCAGCAAAGUAUUGCAGAUGUAAGACAUUACAGAAAAGUUUGUAGGAAAGAGUCUUGAUGAAAUUGGGAGCAUUCCUUUUGAAGAGACAUGUGGUAAUGAAAAUGGAGCAGAAGGUCAAGCAGAAGUCGAUGCUGAGCACACAAGUCUUGAAGGUCAAGCAGAAGUCGAUGCUGAGCACACAAGUCUUGAUGCCCCAGAUGGC
Molecule: long non-coding RNA, 555 nt
Organism: Dreissena polymorpha
Lineage: Eukaryota; Metazoa; Mollusca; Bivalvia; Myida; Dreissenidae
Exons: 3
Source: RefSeq, a predicted model, not a curated record